AGAACAAGUAUGAGGAAGAGAUCAAUAAGCCUACAGAGAUGGAGAAUGAAUUUGUCCUCAUCAAGAAGGAUGUGGAUGAAGCUUACAUGAACAAGGUAGAGCUGGAGUCUCGCCUGGAAGGACUGACUGACGAGAUCAACUUCCUCAGGCAGCUGUAUGAAGAGGAGAUCCGGGAGCUGCAGUCCCAGAUCUCUGACACCUCUGUGGUGCUGUCCAUGGACAACAGCCGCUCCUUGGACAUGGACAGCAUCAUCGCUGAGGUCAAGGCGCAGUACGAGGAGAUCGCCAACCGCAGCCAGGCUGAGGCGGAGAGCAUAUACCAGAUCAAGUAUGAGGAGCUGCAGAAGCUGGCUGGGAAGCACGGGGAUGACCUGCGGCGUACGAAGACUGAGAUCUCCGAGAUGAACCGGAACAUCAGCCGGCUCCAGGCCGAGAUUGAGGGCCUCAAAGGCCAGAGGGCUUCCCUGGAGGCCGCCAUUAUAGAUGCUGAGCAUCGCGGGGAGCAGGCACUCAAGGAUGCUCGUGCCAAGCAGCAGCAGCUGGAGGAAGCCCUGCAGAAGGCCAAGCAGGACAUGGCACGGCAGCUGCGUGACUACCAGGAGCUGAUGAACGUCAAACUGGCCCUGGACAUCGAGAUCGCCACCUACCGCAAGCUACUGGAGGGCAAGGAGAGCCGGCUGGAGUCUGGGAUGCAGAACAUGAGUAUCCACACGAAGACCACCAGCGGCUAUGCAGGUGGUCUGAGCUCUGCCUAUGGGGGCCUCACAAGCCCCGGCCUCAGCUACGGCCUGGGCUCCAGCUUUGGCUCUGGCGCGGGCUCCACCCUCAGCCGCACCAGCUCCACCAAGGCCGUGGUUGUGAAGAAGAUUGAGACCCGCGAUGGGAGGCUGGUGUCUGAGUCCUCUGACGUCCUGCCCAAGUGAACAGCUACAACAGCCCCUCCCAGCCUGCCCCUCCUGAGGCUGCCCCAGAGCCUGGGAGGGAGGUUGCUGUACAGGGGAACACAGGGAAUGGGAAACCCAUCCGACGCUCAGCCCUAGCCCUCAGCCCACCUGCGGGGAGUUUACUGCCUGGGGACCCCCCUUGCCCAUGCCCCCCGCUGCAAAAAAAUUCAAUUUUUUUUUUUUUUUUUUUUU
Molecule: RNA transcript, 1136 nt
Organism: Sapajus apella (tufted capuchin)
Lineage: Eukaryota; Metazoa; Chordata; Mammalia; Primates; Cebidae
Gene name: keratin, type II cytoskeletal 8 pseudogene
Exons: 1
Source: RefSeq, a predicted model, not a curated record